This is a long non-coding RNA of Crotalus tigris (Tiger rattlesnake), 3120 nucleotides long. RefSeq lists it as uncharacterized. Lineage: Eukaryota; Metazoa; Chordata; Lepidosauria; Squamata; Viperidae. The transcript is spliced from 3 exons. The record is from RefSeq and is a predicted model, not a curated record.
GGCAGAUCAGCAGCCCAACAGGAUUCGUGUAGUGCCGAAUUGGAGGAGGCACCUUGCAUUGGGCUAAAGGAAGCCUAUGGCCACAAUGGCCUUCUCAUUUCCACUUUGGAGACAGACAAAAUUACUUGCCCUUCUGCAAAUAAGAAAGCUGGAAUUGCAUAAUCUGCUAACAAUGGAGAAUGCCAGUGAGACUGCAACCUGUCGUUUAUCACAGUACGGACAGAAACACAAGGAGUCUUGGGGCAUCCUAAAGACUACAAAUAAAUGUGUUAAUUUUUAAAGUUCUAUGAAAUUCUUUGUUGUUUUUUCUGCAAAACACUAAUGCCAUUAUUCCUCUGGAGACCAUAUUAAAUAAAUUUUAAAUUUAACAGUAAAUCAGAACAAAUUAGAAACAAGGAAUGCAAGCAAUAUCUAUAAUAAGCUCAUUUUAAGUUAAAAAGUAAGUGAAGCAAGUUCAGGCUCCUUUUCAUGUUACUGUACUGUAUUUUAUAAUAUAUGCUGCAAUUCUUCAACUGAACCAUCUUUCAGUAGCAGUUUCAUGGAGGAUCAACUAAAAAUAGGAAAAGGAAGGAAUAUAUUCACACCUUGCAUUAUUUAUAAAAAUAAUAAAGAUGGGAUAAAAAUAGGCUUUUUUAAAAAGCCUUCAAUAAAACAGAAAGUAAUGAGAUUUAGUUGAAAAGCACAGCAGGUUACUUUGAAUGUAACCUGUAACCUAAGAAAAAAUAACUAGAACAGUCAUAGAAAUGACUGAAUACUGAGAAGGAAAUACAAUUUCAGAAUACUGAAAAGGAAUGCUAAUUGCAACAAAAAUCUUGAUGAGAAGACAAAGUUCUAUAGUGGGAUGCAAAUUUUGCUAUAAAUAAGGGAAUCAGCUUCAUAAAAGUCUUAUUAUCUCUGAAUUUCACAAUUAUGUUUGCUAAUAUUUGUAAAAGAGCGUAAACUGAACUUAGCACUCUUCAUAGUACAAUGUUAAAGGUAAGCAAGUAGACCAAAUAUUUUAUCAAAAAGAUAACUUGACAUUUGAUAUUGAUUGAUUACAAACAAAACAAGUUUCUACAAUACACAGGUCUUUCCGAUCGAACCUUUUUCUCAUUUAUUUAGCAAUGAAUUGGAGGGUGUUCAGAAAAAUCUGCUCCCACAUAAACAUGCACUGAGUUCCAUCUUGAAUCAGGCAGUGGUAGGAGGCUUUGAACAAGUUAUUCAAUAAAUUAUUCACUAAGAAGAAUGAAAAAUAUGAAUAAUAUAAAAAAUAAAGUUUAUUGGUUAUGUGCUAAUUUAGAAUAACUAUCUAGUCUUAGCAAUGUUUUGCACAAGUAUGGUUGGUUGUUGGCUGCAAUAAGCAGGUCAUGAAGAAAAAUGUACCAUAUAAGACUGCAAUGGGAGAAACAGCUGCUAACAUGUAAGACAGCCUUGGUGUUUGGCACUGUUUCAUGUUAGCCAUGUUAGAGACCCCUAUGCUCAGCCUUGAGGUCUGGUCAUUGCAACUUUGAUGGUCCCUCAUAAUCACAGAUGUGACAAAGAGUAGAUCAGGGGUGUACUACAGAGAGCUAGCUGGGUGGACUGCUGGUGGUGGUUCCCCUCUUGUAAAUGUACUUACCUGGGGUUUGGGUGUGGUAUCGGAUGAGAUUUUGGGACACUGGAGGGGAUAUAGCUAAUGAUACUUCUGGUGGCUUCCAGGGACAUUUCUUUGCAGAAAAUCAGAUAGGAGAUCUUGUUUGGGACAUUAGGCCAUAGGGGCCAAGUGAGAUUACUGCUUGUAUAACAACCUCCCAGCCACAUUGCAACUUCUGUGGCUGAGCUGCUUUAUUCAGUGGCUUAUGGUGAAUGUGUAGCUUUGUCUGGAGACAUUUAUUUAUUUACCUAGUUACUCUUUAUUGUCCAGACUGUUGUAAUCAAAAUCAACUUCCAUUGGCUGCCAUAUUGUUGGCUGAGAAUGGAAAUGAUUUGAAGUGAAUGUUAAACAGAUUGUGUGAUGCAGCAAGGAAUAGGGUUCUGUCAAUCAAUGUAUCAAAGAUUCAUUAAUUGUAUCUGACAAGGAAAAUGGACAAUAGCAAGUUAAAAAUGAAUGACAAAAAGCUGGAGCAAGCAGAUGAAAGUAACAGAAUGAUUACUAAAGAUGGAAAAAUAUUUGGAGAAAUCUUAAAGCAUACAAAUACUGAUACUAUAGCUGGUGAAUAGCACGGGAAAGGAACAUAUAGCAAAAGAAGCAAAAAUGGUAAUGUAAAAGAGCAUAUCUUUCCCCCAGUUAUAUGGAAAUGAGUAUGUUAAGAAAUACCUAAAGUGCAAUGUAUAUGAGAAAUAAUAAAGUAAAUGUAUGUGGUAAUCCAAGGAGGAGUAAAAUCAAGAAUGAAUUUAUGAUGAAUGAAUAUGGAUUGAAUUCAAAGAUGAGGGACCAAUGUGAAACUAUGUAUGAUUUUGGUCACAUAAACAAAAUGAAUGAAGAAUGGAUCUUAAAAUAAAUGUAUCGUUAGGCUUCACCCAGAUUUAAAGUGUUGCAAGCAGAAAUUCAAAGCUAUAGUUCUGGUAAAAUUGCCUCUAACAACAACAUUGCAAUUUGUAGGCCAUAGCCUUUUGGUUACAAUGUAUAAAAUCAUUAAGUCUUUUCUGUCUCUUCAUAUAUAGAGUUCAGACUUAACACCAAAGACAACUGAAAUGUAGUAAUGGAAGAAAUGGAGUAUAACUAGUAUGGCUGGAAAGAGGUUUCCGGAAUCCCUGAGGAACGAACAUCUUGUGGUAUAAAAUAAAAAUAAAACAAGCACCAAGUUCAUUGUGUUUUGUUUGCGCUGAAGUGCCACUUAAACACAUCUGCUACUGUAAUGAGAAACUAUUAAACUGAACAGCUAUGGAUAAUGAAGUUGAGGCCAUUAAAGAAAUGGAAAGUACCUCUUGCAUUCAUGACAAAUACAAACUACUGAAAAGACUCUGCUUGUUUUCUUCCAUGACAAAGGCCACAAUGGCUUCCCUUUAAAAUGCAUUAUAAAUCUCAUUUUUGUUAAGUUAUAUGAACUCACCUUUCUUGGUUAAUGUUUACGUGUGUGUGUACACGUUUGUGUGUAUGUGUGUGAUAUACAGAUAGUCCUUGACUUAUGGCCACAAUUGGGACCAGAAUUUCUGUUACUA